UGGUACAUUGGAGGAAAACUAGACAAUUUAUUCAAUAAUGGUUUCUAUUAUUUUCCAUUUUGAUUUUUUUUUGUUCCAAUUCAGUUAGAAAUAAUUUUAGAUGUUAAAAAUGUUGAAAAAAUUGGGUAGAUAAAAAGUUAUAGUCCGGGUUCAGAUACAAUAAAUCAAUACAUUUGUUCUUAAACAUAAUGUUAAGAUAUUAUAUAUAUAUAUAAAAAAAAGGACUGUUUUUAAACUAAACUAGACAUUAUUUAUAGGAAACCCUAUUUCUACAUGGUCAGAAGUAUGUAAACUAGGACGGGCAUUUCCAAAUCUGGAAUCUUUGGUACUUGCUGAAUGUCCUCUGCAGUCACUUAUGACUCCACCACCUUCACCAGACUCUCAUUUAGGCCUUUUAUCUUACCCAAGGAAAGAUAAUGAAUUUUGUGGUGAGUUUACCUAAUUAGUAUAAAAAAAUAAUCAAUUAUUAAUUAUUAUAUCAUAAAAUAUUGCACUUCUAAGAUAUGACGUUGGAUUCACCACAUGACGCUUUCAUACAUCUAAGAUUCCUUAACUUAAACAGAACCCUAAUUAGAACAUGGGCCGAUGUAGAUAUCCUGGGCCGAUUCCCUGCAUUAAGAUACCUUAGAAUACAGGGCUGUCCAUUAUUUGAAGUAAGUAGCGACUAUUAAAAAUUCUUAAAUUUCUAUUCUUAAAAUAUUUAUAUAGAUAUAUUCCAAAUUUAAUGGGAACUUUGAUGAUUGUUUUUAUUUUAGGAAAACUCUGAAAGACAAGAAUACACAGAACAUGAACGUAGGCAGUUGUUGAUUGCACGAUUGCCCCAUAUACAAACUUUAAACGGAGGUGCAGAAAUUACAGCUGAUGAAAGAGAAGAUGCCGAACGGUUUUUAAUCCGAUACUAUAUGGAUAAGCCAGAAAAUGAACACCCAGAUAGGUAAAAAAACAUUACUGAUUUAAUUGAUGUCCACCAAAAAAGUAUUCUCCCACCAUUCAGGUUUAGUUAUGAUAUUUCAGUGAUGAUGACAGAAUAUCUCAGGUAGGUAUUCCAUAAUAUUAUAUACGGUACCCGAUGUUAUACCUAUCUUAUAUCAUUAAUUUUACUGUAUAGAUUUUACCAAAUAUUGUUCUUAAAAUAUCAAAUAAGUGAAUUUCACACAUAUAUACUUUUUUUUUUUAUUAGCAGUAUAAUAUUUUAGUUUUAAAUGUAUAAUCUAUAAAUAUAGUAUAUAAAUUGUAUAACAAAUGAUUAGAACAUCAAAAAAAUAUUAGAUAUAUGUGGAUUUCAACUAAACCUGAGUGACUGAGAAUACUUUCUUGGCUGGUGUCAACACGUCAACUAGACCAGUACCAAAAAGACCUUACUCAUUAAUUAUUUAACAUUAUUUUAAAAAAAUAUAUCAUGCAUAUACAUUAUACAUACAUUUUACAACUUUAAUAUUAUUAAAUCACUUUGUAUAUUGUAUAGAAAGUUAUAUAAAUUUGUAUAAUAUUUUAAUUCUAUUCAAAUUUAUUUCAUAAUAGUUUCUAUUUAUCUACCUAUAAGUGAUUGAAUCAUUAAUCUUUAGGUAGCUAAUACAAUUUAAUUUUCAAAAAUUAUAUUUUUUGAACUAAUUAAAUUAAAUAAUCUUAAAAAUUUAUACCUAGUUUUAUUCUUCAAAGAUUUUUAAUCCAUAAUUAUUAGUUAUUACUUAAAUAGGUAUGUCAUAAUUUAUAUUUCAAAAGUUAUAAAAUCACUUUAAACAUGUUUUAGAUAUAGUGAAUUAAUUCAAGUACAUGGGAAACUUGAUCCUUUGGUUAACAUAGACUUGACACCUGAAAUUAAAGUUUUGGUCACUAUUAUAUGCGGUGAAAAGUGUGAACAAUAUACAUUAGAUGUGUAUCAGACUGUAGCAGACCUCAAACAAAAAUUUGAAAAAUUUUCUGGUAUACCAGCACACCGUAUGCGAAUAUUUUAUGUGGAUCAACAAGUAUGUUCAGUAAUUGGUCCUGAAGAAAUGAAGUUUCCCAACAAGAGAUUAUACAGUUACAAUAUAGUCAAAGGAGAUCAAAUAAUUGUUGAUUCAAAAAAGUAAAAUCUUACUGAAUUCUGUAAAUAAACUUUCAGUGAAUUGUGAUAUAAACAUAAUAUAAUUAAGUAUAUAAAAUUUAAUUUCAGUUUUAUAGUUUAAAAUAACAUUAGUUUUAUUGUAUACUUGUCAGUAGAAUAGAGUAUAGGUUCCUCCAACAGUGAUUCAAUUUCUUAAAGAUAUAAGCUUAUUAUUAUUAGUUCAGUUACCUAUACUUAUUCUGCUUGAGUACACAAUUCAAUCAAAUUUUUUUAAAUAUAAUGUUAAAACAUUUGAAAUGUAAUACUGUUGUAUACUUUUUUAAUAUUUAAGUUUUAGUACUAUAAUUGGUCUAUGAGUAUGUUUGUAAUUCUAAUAUUAGUUGUAAUUUAUGUAGAAUAAAAACUUACUUCUUUAAAUAUAAUUAACAAUUAAAGUAAAAUAUUGAAUUUUAAUGUUGAAUUAAAUCUAUUUUUAUUGAUCCACUAAGACUUAUUAAAAGUAUAUUAUACUUAUUAAAGAAUAUCAAUUACUAAAAUUAAUGAUUCAUUAUUUACAUU
This 2605-nucleotide long non-coding RNA is filed under the name Cinara cedri. The record is from RNAcentral. Lineage: Eukaryota; Metazoa; Arthropoda; Insecta; Hemiptera; Aphididae.